This 430-nucleotide ribosomal RNA is filed under the name uncultured bacterium. RNAcentral's name for it is "bacterial SSU rRNA". It matches the Rfam family "Bacterial small subunit ribosomal RNA", at positions 79 to 507 of the family's 1533-position model. The record is from RNAcentral.
GUUCAAUUGCCGGCGACCGGCGCACGGGUGAGUAACGCGUAUCCAACCUUCCGUACACUCAGGGAUAGCCUUUCGAAAGAAAGAUUAAUACCUGAUGGUAUCUUAAGCACACAUGUAAUUAAGAUUAAAGAUUUAUCGGUGUACGAUGGGGAUGCGUUCCAUUAGGUAGUAGGCGGGGUAACGGCCCACCUAGCCAACGAUGGAUAGGGGUUCUGAGAGGAAGGUCCCCCACAUUGGAACUGAGACACGGUCCAAACUCCUACGGGAGGCAGCAGUGAGGAAUAUUGGUCAAUGGACGAGAGUCUGAACCAGCCAAGUAGCGUGAAGGAUGAAGGUCCUACGGAUUGUAAACUUCUUUUAUAAGGGAAUAAACCCUCCCACGUGUGGGAGCUUGUAUGUACCUUAUGAAUAAGCAUCGGCUAACUCCGUG